Molecule: non-coding RNA, 263 nt
Organism: Cinara cedri
Lineage: Eukaryota; Metazoa; Arthropoda; Insecta; Hemiptera; Aphididae
Source: the annotation of a GenBank genome assembly
UGUGACAAUAAGAAACACAUAAUAUUUGAAAUUGAUCCUAUAACAAUAUCAUCAUCGCCUUACUAUAUGUGGUCUGAAUAAAUAUUUGUCGGGUUAAUCAAUACAAUUUACUCUCUAAAUAUGUGGCUAUCAAACUUCAUAUAUUUACUUUAUAUGGAUUCUAAUCUCUGACAUAAAGACGCCUAUCUAGUACUUUUAUGUGCCAUUAUUCAUUAUAUACGAAUAAAAUCAGAGUUGCAGGCAGUGUCGUUGCCAGUUGGGAC